UUAGAAAAGCAGGAAUCGAACCUACACCAAGAGAUCAAAACUCCCCAUACUUCCUUUAUACUAUUUCCU
This 69-nucleotide transfer RNA is filed under the name Nyctibius maculosus. RNAcentral describes it as "tRNA-Gln". Lineage: Eukaryota; Metazoa; Chordata; Aves; Nyctibiiformes; Nyctibiidae. The record is from RNAcentral.